Molecule: unclassified non-coding RNA, 249 nt
Filed under: plant metagenome
Description: partial contains small subunit ribosomal RNA and internal transcribed spacer 1
Rfam family: Eukaryotic small subunit ribosomal RNA (bases 1-53)
Source: RNAcentral
GGAAGUAAAAGUGUAACAAGGUCUCCGUUGGUGAACCAGCGGAGGGAUCAUUACCGAGUUAUCAACUCCCAAACCCCUGUGGACAUACCUGAACGUUGCCUCGGCGGGACCGCCCCGGCGCUCAUCUCGCGGCCCGGAACCAGGCGCCCGCCGGAGGACCCAAACUCUUGCUUUGAACAGUGGCAUACUCUCUGAGUCUCACAAACAAAAAAUGAAUCAAAACUUACAACAACGGAUCUCUUGGCUCUG